CGUAUACAACCUACCUACCAGCGGGGGACAACAGAGAGAAAUCACUGCUAAUACCGCAUAACAUAUAUUUAUAGCAUUAUAGAUAUGUCAAAGGCUUCGGUCACUGGUAGAUGGGUAUGCGUCUGAUUAGUUAGUUGGAGUGGUAACGGCACCCCAAGGCAACGAUCAGUAGCUGGUUUGAGAGGAUGAUCAGCCACACUGGAACUGAGACACGGUCCAG
Molecule: ribosomal RNA, 220 nt
Filed under: uncultured bacterium
Lineage: Bacteria
Description: partial 16S ribosomal RNA
Rfam family: Bacterial small subunit ribosomal RNA
Source: RNAcentral